GAGAGGACAAGCCCUGGGAGCAUCCACCAUGAGGAUUCGCUUUCUUGCAUAGAGACAGCCGAUGAGCUCAGAAGCCAUGUGAGAUUGCUGUUCUGGAAAGAAGGACUGAAGAGAGAAGACAAAUAAUUCCAAAUGCAGCCAGAAGGCAGAGAUAACACAAUCAUGAAAGCCUGCUUUCCUCGCCCUUAGAACAUACUUUUCAAUCAUGAUUUCUAAAAUGAAAAGGUGGGCCAGUCAUGCCAAGUUUCCAACCAAGAAUCCAAAACUAUGCCCAGCUUCCUUUGCCACUCUGAAGCUCAGUUCACGGUGACAGCAGCUGAGCACCUCCAACCACCCGGGUGGUCCUGCAGAGGGUGGCCUUCAGCCCAGAAAUGCACCCCUCAGUCUGCUUACUCCAGGUUCACCAGGACUGUUUCCCCAGGGACAUUUUUGGGUUGAGCACAUCAUGCAUUUUUCCUAGGGGUGGGAUACAAUGCCCAAAGCCAGGCCUUAAUGGAGAACUUUCCUAACUUUCUUGGGCUGAGGAAUUCUCCAUGCAGCCCAGUCAUUCUUUAACUUCCCUUUUUCAUUGCCCACAGAAGCUGUUCCAAACCCUUGUCACUUCCUUUUAGAAGUUAAUGCUUCCCGAGUGUCUGUCCUGUCUUCCAUUUACAUUCAUUCAACCACUCUGCAUUGAGGUCCUAGCAUACAUCCAGCUCUGUGCUGGGCACACUGCAUUGAAUGAGCAGACAUGGCUUAUUCUUGUCAUGAUGCUGACGAUCAAGUUUAUAGUCAGUCUCCUCUUGCUCCUCACUCUUCCCAGAUCAUCACAUCCCUUCUCCAAGGCUUCAGUUACCACCUUUACCCCGAUGGCUCCUUCUUUCGUCAGAUGACCUGGAAAUCUAUCCAAAGAGAUGAAUGUCACAUAGGCAUCCUGACUUGUAGUUGACAAUGAGGAAAACAGUCCCCAUGAAUAGAGGAUGGUUGAAAAGCAGAAUCACAACUCUUAUCCCAGAAUGCCUUUAUGCUGGACCACUUGCCCCAAUCCAGAUGAAACCACCAUGGUGGAAACUUGUUUCCCUUUCCCAUCUGCAUAGCAUGGAUAAUAUUCUUCCCUUAAAUCCACCCCCACAGCAGCGUUAAAGUCAGGCUAGCACACUUAGCAAAAUUUUAUUGAAGGUGCCAAGAGAAUUAACUAUCCACCAGGUGUAACCUGCAGUUGGCUAUCCAUACAGUUUCUCCUAAAGUCCGCUGGCCUAGACCUUCCUCUGCCUAGCUGAGCCACCCACUUAGAGCAGAAGUCACCUCCCUUCUUCAUACCCCAUUACCACCCAGCAAACCUUCCACACAUCUACAAUGUUCUCACAGAGAAGGGAAGUAGCCCUCUUUCCCUGCUAUAUAAGGUCCAUUUCCUAAGACCACAGCUCCUAACCCAGGAUUGGCUUCUUCCUAGAAAAGUUGAUCUGAUAAAUUUCCCUCCCUUUAGGGUGAUUUCUCUCAUCUGUAUAGAUUGUGGCCUUUCUGCAUGACCUUGAACAGUAGCCUAAUUCUGUACAAAAAAAUAUAUGGACUAUGUUAAGAGGUUGAGAAGGACAGUGGUCACUUCCAAAGGCACCUAGCACUCAGUAUGAAUAAAAUCAAACUCAACAGGUCCUUCUGGUAGCUUCCCCCAAAUCCGCUCAUCUUUUCUUACUCUUAUUUUAAACAAUGGCAUCAGCAUCCCCAAAGUCAUCCAGCCCAGAAUCACAGGGGUCACCAUGGUGCCUCUCAUUCAGAUUCCCAUACCUUCAACUUCCUAAGUGUCUUUGCAAAAUGCUCCAUCUUCCCCUUGUCUAUGCCUUGGUUCAGGCACUCUCAUCUCUACCUGACCAAGGCAGAGUCUUCCUUGAUGUAGUCAGGGUGCUCUUUCUCAACUUAUAAUCCCACCAGAGAUGCAGAAUUAUUGUUUUGGGCCAGAUUUCCUGGGUUCAAAUUCAUUAGACUACUGUAAUCCUGGGCCAGGUGUUUACCUCUCUGUGGCUCCGUCAUCUCAUCUGUAAAAUGAGGAGAAUGUACCUUCCUCUGAGUUACUGCAGAGAUCAUAGGUGGCUAUUCCUAAAAUGGCUCCCAGUGAACCGUCCCUCUGGUCUGCACACCCACAUGUAAUCCCCUCCCGUUGAACAUGGACUGUACCCAGUUACUUGCUUCUAAUAAAUAGAAUAUAGCCAGAGGGAGGAGACAUCCCUUUCAUAAUUGGAUUUGAAAGACA
Long non-coding RNA from Marmota flaviventris (yellow-bellied marmot), 2227 nucleotides. RefSeq lists it as uncharacterized. The record is from RefSeq and is a predicted model, not a curated record. NCBI's taxonomy places the organism in Eukaryota, Metazoa, Chordata, Mammalia, Rodentia, Sciuridae.